This 253-nucleotide ribosomal RNA is filed under the name uncultured prokaryote. Its description in RNAcentral is "partial 16S ribosomal RNA". It matches the Rfam family "Bacterial small subunit ribosomal RNA", at positions 524 to 776 of the family's 1533-position model. The record is from RNAcentral.
UACGUAGGAAGCGAGCGUUAUCCGGAAUUACUGGGCGUAAAGCGCGCGUAGGUGGUCUUUCAAGUCGAAUGUGAAAUUUCCCGGCUUAACCGGGAAGGGUCGUUCGAUACUGUUGGACUAGAGAGCGGCAGGGGGAAGCGGAAUUCCCGGUGUAGUAGUGAAAUGCGUAGAUAUCGGGAGGAACACCAGUGGCGAAGGCGGCUUCCUGGGCUGUUUCUGACACUGAGGCGCGAAAGUGUGGGGAGCGAACAGA